Alosa sapidissima (American shad) is the source of this 587-nucleotide long non-coding RNA. RefSeq lists it as uncharacterized. Lineage: Eukaryota; Metazoa; Chordata; Actinopteri; Clupeiformes; Clupeidae. The transcript is spliced from 3 exons. The record is from RefSeq and is a predicted model, not a curated record.
GUACUCGACAAUGGCAGCGCCCACGCCCACUCCCACGCCCAGCGCAGCUACUAUCCCUGCUAUCCACACUAAGACUCCAGUGACUGUCAAAGAAGGCACUGACGAGGGAGAGAGAGGGAGUAGAACAUGUCAAUCGAGCUCCCACUGUUGCAUUCCAGCCUAUGACGUCCACGUCGUAAGGUGUACGACAGGUUGCUGUGGCUGGGUCUCCGUACUUCACCACCAGACCGGGGGGGUCCACGAUGGGCUUCCCUGCGAUGCACUCCUGGUCUGGCCCCAAAACAAAAGACUUGGAUGCGGACACAGAAAGAGGGACUAUGAUGGAAGUGACGUCAUGUGGGUUAGGGUUCACUCGGACACAUGUAUUGUUGUCACUCUGAGUGAUAGACUUGAGAUGCCGACUCGCGGUCAGUUUGUAUGCAGCCAGCGAGGUAUGUUUGUGUAUUUAAGAUGCUUAAUUUAUUUGAUUUAUCUGCUCUUUUCAUUGUGUGAUUGAAUUGUCUAUUUAUUGUGUUUUUGCUUUUAAACAGUUUGACGGUGGACUAAAGAUGAAUUAAAGAAACAAAAUAAACCCAUCAGUAAUUGAA